Molecule: non-coding RNA, 595 nt
Organism: Ciona intestinalis (vase tunicate)
Lineage: Eukaryota; Metazoa; Chordata; Ascidiacea; Phlebobranchia; Cionidae
Source: RefSeq, a predicted model, not a curated record
AAAAAAAGUUUAUAAUAUAUUUAACAACAUGCUAUACUGUAAUUUAUGUCCACAAUACUGCGUAUUAAAUUUUUUCAUUUAUAUCUACGGUCCCAAGAACAAAGCUUAUUUAAAUCAACAGACAGGACUAACGGCAAGCUGACAGCCAGGCCCAACAGCAAAAAACUGCUGCAGUGACCAUCAACUGCUGCAGUGACCAUGAAUGACACAACAAACUAAGAAUGCAGAAUGCUCACUGGAAUUGGCGUUCGAGAUCAUUGAAGAUUCGUUAGGAUCCAACCAGAUCUUGUUUUUGCCACAUUUCAUAACAGUGGCGGCCAGCCUCUUCUGCAGCCGCAGAGUACUGUAAAAACAAUGUUGUUAAGCUUAGUUCAUUGCUACUCAUGCUUAAUUUACUUUUACGAGGCGGAUUUACGUUGGUUCAACUUUCCAUUAUUUCAAUUAGAAAAAUACUCGAUAAUAUAAUCGGGAGAUGUUGUUUUAUGAUCAAUUUAUAUUAAUUUCUCUCAAAAUAUGGCAAAAUUAAGCUGAAAACAACGAAUAAAUCAUUAUUUUUAUACCUCAUGACUGCUGAAUUGUAGAUGCUAGAAAAAAA